UACGAAGGGGGCUAGCGUUGCUCGGAAUCACUGGGCGUAAAGCGCACGUAGGCGGAUCUUUAAGUCAGGGGUGAAAUCCCGGAGCUCAACUCCGGAACUGCCUUUGAUACUGAGGAUCUUGAGUCCGGGAGAGGUGAGUGGAACUGCGAGUGUAGAGGUGAAAUUCGUAGAUAUUCGCAAGAACACCAGUGGCGAAGGCGGCUCACUGGCCCGGUACUGACGCUGAGGUGCGAAAGCGUGGGGAGCUAACAGG
RNAcentral lists this ribosomal RNA (253 nucleotides) under uncultured bacterium. Its description in RNAcentral is "partial 16S ribosomal RNA". It matches the Rfam family "Bacterial small subunit ribosomal RNA", at positions 524 to 776 of the family's 1533-position model. The record is from RNAcentral.